CUGUGGUGCAGAAAGCUCAAUACAUCUGUGCUUUGUGGCAAAAUAUAUCUUAUUUUAUUUAAAAUGCAAAGUAGCGAUUCAAUUGUAAAUGUGUGUGUGAAUAAACUAGACUCACAAGAAUUAUAGUGCUGUUUUGGAGUAAUUUGAUUCGUGUGUGUUUCUGUGUUUGUGCUUGCUCUGUGAAAUGCUGCCUGCUCUCCGAUGUCCCUCCCCUUCUGGGGCAGCGCUGCAAACAUAAGACUGUUGCUAUGGAAACACCAAUGAGAGUGAACGACACAGGCCAAAGUUUACAUUGGGAGAUGGGGCAGUUUAAAAUGUGCCCCACGAAAUCUGCUUAGCAAGACAGAUCUACGCUACGUACGUUACUGCACGUUAGCUAUCACUAGUUUUCUACUGUUUUGGAACCAUCUUCCGUGUUUCAAGUUGCAGCCGGAAAUAAUUUCUGUUUAUAAGACAACAUUUUAUGUAAGUUUUGUUCAUUUAGCAGCAUGAUUUGUUGCUGUUAUUUGUUUCAGUUGUGCCUUUCGUUUUAUGCAAUAAAAUAAAAAGAUUAGAUAGACACAAUCUAUUUUAUUUACUUUGUUGCUGUAUUAUAAGCCACAUCUUUGUGUCGCGCUGAGAACUAAAGCAUGUGAAAUGUAAUUGAAAUAGGAUUUCUGCUCCCUGCCGGCAAUCACAAAUUCAGCCAAUAGCCUAUGGCUAGCUGGGCAUAUAGGCAAAUUGCUUAUAUAAUAAAAUAAUAAUCAGCUAGCUCUAUUUUUGUGACGAUGUCAUACAAAAUUGCCCCACCAAGAGAGGAGAGGAGAGGAGAGGAGAGGGGAGGAGCACCAUUGCUAAGGGUCAGGGUUGAGGAGAGGAGAGGAGAGGAAAAGAGAGGUGAGGAGAGGAGAGGAGAGGAGAGGUGCACCAUUGCUAAGGGUCAGGGUUGGGGAGAGGAGAGGAGAUAAGAGGAGAGGAGAGGAGAUGAGAUGAGAGGAGAGGAGGGGAACGUAACAUAACGGAAAGGAGAGGAGAGGAGAGGAGAGGAGAGGACAGGAGCACCAUUGCUAAGGGUCAGGGUUGGGGAGAGGAGAGGAGAGGAGAGGAGAGACUACACUACUCUGAUCCAUCACUGCUCAUACUAAAAUAAAGAGGAGGCAUUAUUCUAUUAAAUACACAAAGCUUGUUUAUCUCCAACUCUAAAACAGUUGAUACUAAAUCCAAGGCAACAAAAAAACACUCAAACCACAACUGGGGUAUGUCGUGGGAAACAUGACUUUUGAAGUUCACAAUUGCGUCAAACCUUUUUUUUUUUUUU
Molecule: long non-coding RNA, 1297 nt
Organism: Clupea harengus (Atlantic herring)
Lineage: Eukaryota; Metazoa; Chordata; Actinopteri; Clupeiformes; Clupeidae
Source: Ensembl